This 497-nucleotide ribosomal RNA is filed under the name uncultured bacterium. RNAcentral's name for it is "partial 16S ribosomal RNA". It matches the Rfam family "Bacterial small subunit ribosomal RNA", at positions 28 to 507 of the family's 1533-position model. The record is from RNAcentral.
GAUGAACGCUGGCGGCGUGCCUAAUACAUGCAAGUCGAGCGAACGGACGAGAAGCUUGCUCCUCUGAUGUUAGCGGCGGACGGGUGAGUAACACGUGGAUAACCUACCUAUAAGACUGGGAUAACUUCGGGAAACCGGAGCUAAUACCGGAUAAUAUUUUGAACCGCAUGGUUCAAAAGUGAAAGACGGUCUUGCUGUCACUUAUAGAUGGAUCCGCGCUGCAUUAGCUAGUUGGUAAGGUAACGGCUUGCCAAGGCAACGUUGCAUAGCCGACCUGAGAGGGUGAUCGGCCACACUGGAACUGAGACACGGUCCAGACUCCUACGAGAGGCAGCAGUAGGGAAUCUUCCGCAAUGGGCGAAAGCCUGACGGAGCAACGCCGCGUGAGUGAUGAAGGUCUUCGGAUCGUAAAACUCUGUUAUUAGGGAAGAACAUAUGUGUAAGUAACUGUGCACAUCUUGACGGUACCUAAUCAGAAAGCCACGGCUAACUACGUG